GCUCCAUCAUGUGGCAAAAAAAUGAAUUGAAAGGGAAAGAUACAUAUCGACUUGGCUUGCCAUUCUGAGCAACACACCUGUCCUGUAGAGUCCAAAUUCAGGAGAGAUAUCAAGCUUGCCAGUUUGUGAUUAUUUAACCUAAUCUUAUACCACUCCCAUGAGAAUGAUCCGUGGCACCAUCCCCUUUAUGCUACAGUGCUGUUUUAUUUUUUUCCCUUAUUUUCAGACACUCAAACCUUCCCACUUGGUUCUAGGCACAGGACCAUGCACUUCUCAUCCCCUCUGUUAGGAGCACUGUUUGUUUGUUUGCUUGUUUGUUUCCUGAACAGCUGAUUUCUUUGGUAUUCAGGUUACAACUCAAACGUUGGUCUUUAGAAACAGGCCUUCCUACCCCAUUGAAUCAUCCUGUUUUAUCUUCCUCAUAGAAUAAUAGUAGACUUUCUUAUUUCCUUCUUAAAUUAUGAGUGGUGUUUAUUUCCAUAGAGAUUAUAAGCUCUGUGAAGGCAGGCAUGUAUCUUUUCUUCCCUACUCUGCCCCCACUCUUAGAACUGUGUUUGGUGGAUGGCAGAUUCUUAACUUGUGUUUCUAAUAAGUGUGAUUACAAAGAAACAGUGGUGAAUGUUCACAUUUGCAUUCUUUCUGCACAGCUAUUCAGUUCAACAACUAAAUCUGUAAAUUAAGCCUCUCACUCGAGUCAAAAAGGAAAUUGUAAUGCUAAAAUUGAGAGAAACAAGACCCGUACCAUAUAAUAGCAAGUAUGAGAGUAGUGAAAGCAAAACACUUCUUAAUAUACUAUUCUGCAGAAAGGGACACCAGCAUAGAGAAAGAACAAAAGUGGCUAGCAUGGCAUUUUGACAUGAGAUAGUAUAUAUUUUUUUUAAAGUUCCUAGUAGCAAGAAAUUGCUGCCCCCCUUUUCCCAUAGGCUGGUACUAAGAGUGGUAACCUUUGUGUUCUUCUACCAUAGCCCCCUCUCAAAUUCCUCACCCCAUUCGUUUGGGAAAAUAUCUUAGGCUUCAAUUGUCUCCUUCUCUGAUCAUGGGCUCAGAUAUAUAACAGAGUGACUUUCAAUGUUCUGAGACAAGCCAGUGCCCAUUGCUAGCUAUAGGAGAGACAGACCUAGCUCUUCUUGCUUAUGUGUGACAAUUUGGUGGGCCAUAAGUACACCUCAUACUGAAAAUGAGCCAUAAUGAUUUAUUUUUAUCUAGCUGCUGUGGCCAGAAUACUUUGCCAAGAUCUCUUAGCUGGUGAGUUUACAUCAGAGGGAGCAUCGUGGGUACACUUCCGGUUCCCUGCUCCAUUCCUUGCCUCCUAUUGGAAUCAGAAUUUCAGGCUUGUACUGAGAAAUCUCCCCUCACCAGAAGAGCAUAAAAAUCAUACUCCCAUGUCUGCCAUGUGCGCUCUGAUUCCGCUACGAAGAGUCUCCAUCUGUCUCUAGUACUGGGGCUACUGCCUCUGUCUACCCAAGCAUGUCAUUAACAUCUUUUCAACUAAAGUCCUCACUGUAUUCCAGUAAUGUUUCAGUGUCUAUAUCGUACUAUGCCCUGCUCAACCAGAAACCCAA
RNAcentral lists this long non-coding RNA (1562 nucleotides) under Mus musculus (house mouse). Its description in RNAcentral is "long non-coding RNA chr9:89374841-89376403". Lineage: Eukaryota; Metazoa; Chordata; Mammalia; Rodentia; Muridae. The record is from RNAcentral.